RNAcentral lists this ribosomal RNA (778 nucleotides) under uncultured bacterium. RNAcentral describes it as "bacterial SSU rRNA". It matches the Rfam family "Bacterial small subunit ribosomal RNA", at positions 8 to 796 of the family's 1533-position model. The record is from RNAcentral.
AGAGUUUGAUCAUGGCUCAGGACGAACGCUGGCGGCGUGCCUAAUACAUGCAAGUCGAACGGGGUCCAUUUGGUGGCAACACCAAGGAAGACCUAGUGGCGAACGGGUGCGUAACACGUGAGCAACCUACCCCGAAGACCGGGAUAACACCGGGAAACCGAUGCUAAUACCGGAUGUCCCCAUGGGCCCGCAUGAGCACAUGAGGAAAGGAUUCCGCUUUGGGUGGGGCUCGCGGCCUAUCAGCUUGUUGGUGCGGUAACGGCUCACCAUGGCAACGACGGGUAGCUGGUCUGAGAGGACGAUCAGCCACACUGGGACUGAGACACGGCCCAGACUCCUACGGGAGGCAGCAGUAGGGAAUCUUGCGCAAUGGGCGAAAGCCUGACGCAGCAACGCCGCGUGAGGGACGAAGGCUUUCUGAGUUGUAAACCUCUUUCAGCAGGGACGAUUGUGACGGUACCUGCAGAAGAAGCACCGGCCAACUACGUGCCAGCAGCCGCGGUGAUACGUAGGGUGCGAGCGUUGUCCGGAUUUAUUGGGCGUAAAGAGCUCGUAGGCGGUUCGAUAAGUCGGGUGUGAAAUCUCCAGGCUCAACCUGGAGUCGCCACUUGAUACUGUCGUGACUAGAGUCCGGUAGGGGACAUGGAAUUCCUGGUGUAGCGGUGAAAUGCGCAGAUAUCAGGAGGAACACCAGUAGCGAAGGCGGUGGUCUGGGCCGGCACUGACGCUGAGGAGCGAAAGCGUGGGGAGCGAACAGGAUUAGAUACCCCAGUAGUCC